UAUCCUCACAGGCGCCUCAGAGGAAUAAGCAGUCAUUUUUCAGAAGACAGAAAAUGUGCUACUGAGGUGUGCCUCCUAACCUACAAUGAAAUCCAUAUAAAUCAUGGCAUCACAAAAAGGAAAACUAACAGUGAUUCCAACUAUAAGCUGCAAACUGAAAGCCUCAAUGGCUGAUCCUCCAAACUCUGCAGCCAGUUCGUAGUUGAGCUGCUCCUCACGUGGACAACUUUACACAUCGUGGUCCAAAGUUUGUGACAAUGCAAACAUACUUAUUUGAUGAUGGUAACUAGCAUAUUCUCAAGCAAAACAAGUGAUUACAGAGAGAACAGAUACUACUAGGGAAACACUGAUCAAAAGAAGAAAAGAGGGAAGCCCUGGAUAAAGAUAUAGUUUGUGAUUCUGUG
This 404-nucleotide long non-coding RNA is filed under the name Homo sapiens (human). RNAcentral describes it as "HSALNT0343210". The record is from RNAcentral. Lineage: Eukaryota; Metazoa; Chordata; Mammalia; Primates; Hominidae.